Non-coding RNA from Cinara cedri, 248 nucleotides. Lineage: Eukaryota; Metazoa; Arthropoda; Insecta; Hemiptera; Aphididae. The record is from the annotation of a GenBank genome assembly.
AUUAUACCUACAAUUCGUGAAGAAAAACAGAGAACCAGAUGGUUUAUUAAAUAUAUAGUUGGUUAAACAUGCAGUUCUUCUAAGUUCUUCAUCAUAUCAUAAUAUUUUCUGUUUAUCCUCGUAUCUUCCAUCAUUUGAUUUUUAAAUGACAACCUUGGUAUUCCCCUUCCUUUUUUUUUCCAUUAACUCUUUUUUAUGAUUAUUGUUAUUACCCAUAGCCUUUGAAAAUUAUUGUUUUUAUCGUUAUU